This is a long non-coding RNA of Daphnia pulicaria, 609 nucleotides long. RefSeq lists it as uncharacterized. The transcript has 4 exons. The record is from RefSeq and is a predicted model, not a curated record. NCBI's taxonomy places the organism in Eukaryota, Metazoa, Arthropoda, Branchiopoda, Diplostraca, Daphniidae.
AGCAGUUGUGGAUGCCUGGCCGUUUUUCCCAGGUACAAAGGAAAAACCUGCUGCCGAUGGCCGGAUUCACGAGAAAUAACAUUUCGAUCCCAACUAUAGCUGUGCCGAGAGUCUGUGCACAGAGUUGUCUAGAUGAGAAGGGAUAUAGCAGAGAUGAGCGCAUGAAAUUCGAUCGUCGGAUAAACUGUGAACAGCAGCUAGUCGCCUAUAAAAGGCAAAUCACACAGCGCUGUUAGAAAAAUUCUCAACAAAUCCCCACAAGAGAGUAGAGGAAUGAGCGGCUUGUGAAAUAACUUUUUUGGUGCGCUGCAGCAGUGACCGACCAUGCACGUGAUGAUGUGGUAAAACGAAAUUGGAAAAAAAAGAAGAAGAAACGAAACGGGCAGCCAGCAGGUUAUUAUAUACAUAAUAUUUUCUGUUUGAAGUUUUUCUUUUUCGGUAACAUGGAAUAUGUUUGCUGGCCAGCAGCAACGGCUCGAUGAUUUUUAUUUGUAUAUGAUGGCUCAAUUGAGGAAGAAGAAGAAGAAGAAGUAAGGCAACCUUUGAAACGUGUACAACAAAUUGUUUUGUAUAUUGUCGUAGAUGUAUAUAUCCUAUACACAAAGAUAA